This 178-nucleotide unclassified non-coding RNA is filed under the name uncultured fungus. Its description in RNAcentral is "sequence contains ITS1". The record is from RNAcentral. Lineage: Eukaryota; Fungi.
GCGUGUCUCGAUACCCGCAUAUACCCUGCGAACCCACGGCGCAAGCCGCUGUGUUGCCUCGGCCAGCGGCCCCAGGGCGGGGCCCGCCUAGCCCGGUCGGACCGGGUGCUGGCCGGCGGCGCGAACUUCUGGAUCGUGAACGAGGGAGCUCUGAGUGAGGAUGGCCCGAAUUGACAUA